RNAcentral lists this ribosomal RNA (868 nucleotides) under fungal sp. mh2223.6. RNAcentral's name for it is "eukaryotic LSU rRNA". It matches the Rfam family "Eukaryotic large subunit ribosomal RNA", at positions 23 to 909 of the family's 3401-position model. Lineage: Eukaryota; Fungi. The record is from RNAcentral.
ACCCGCUGAACUUAAGCAUAUCAAUAAGCGGAGGAAAAGAAACCAACAGGGAUUGCCUCAGUAACGGCGAGUGAAGCGGCAAAAGCUCAAAUUUGAAAUCUGGCUCUUUCAGGGUCCGAGUUGUAAUUUGUAGAAGAUGCUUUGGGUGUGGCUCUGGUUUAAGUUCUUUGGAAUAUUACAUCAUAGAGGGUGAGAAUCCCGUAUGUGACCAGUCGCCGCGCCCGUGUAAAGCUCUUUCAACGAGUCGAGUUGUUUGGGAAUGCAGCUCAAAAUGGGAGGUAUAUUUCUUCUAAAGCUAAAUAUUGGCCAGAGACCGAUAGCGCACAAGUAGAGUGAUCGAAAGAUGAAAAGCACUUUGGAAAGAGAGUUAAACAGUACGUGAAAUUGUUGAAAGGGAAGCGCUUGCAACCAGACUUGCACGCAGUUGAUCAUCCGGUGUUCUCACCGGGGCACUCUGCUGCGUUCAGGCCAGCAUCGUUUUUGGUGGUUGGAUAAAGGCCUUGGGAAUGUAGCUUCUUUCGGGGAGUGUUAUAGCCCUUGGUGCAAUGCAGCCUACCGGGAACGAGGACCGCGCUUCGGCUAGGAUGCUGGCGUAAUGGUUGUAAGCGGCCCGUCUUGAAACACGGACCAAGGAGUCUAACAUCUAUGCGAGUGUUUGGGUGUCAAACCCAUACGCGUAAUGAAAGUGAACGGAGGUGAGAACCCUUAAGGGUGCAUCAUCGACCGGUCCUGAUGUCUUCGGAUGGAUCUGAGUAAGAGCAUAGCUGUUGGGACCCGAAAGAUGGUGAACUAUGCGUGAAUAGGGUGAAGCCAGAGGAAACUCUGGUGGAGGCUCGCAGCGGUUCUGACGUGCAAAUCGAUCGUCAAA